Molecule: unclassified non-coding RNA, 391 nt
Filed under: soil metagenome
Description: partial contains 5.8S ribosomal RNA, internal transcribed spacer 2, and large subunit ribosomal RNA
Rfam family: 5.8S ribosomal RNA (bases 1-122)
Source: RNAcentral
GAUGAAGAACGCAGCGAAAUGUGAUACUUGGUGUGAAUUGCAGAAUCCCGUGAACCAUCGAGUCUUUGAACGCAAGUUGCGCCCGAAGCCAUUAGGCCGAGGGCACGCCUGCCUGGGUGUCACACGUCGUUGCCCCCCCAUCUACUCCUUCGGGAUUGCGGGGGGCGGAUGAUGGCCUCCCGUGCGCCUCGUCGCGCGGUUGGCAUAAAUGCCAAGUCCUCGGCGACGCACGCCACGACAAUCGGUGGUUGCGAAACCUCGGUUGCCCGUCGUGUGCGGUCGUCGCGCAUCGAGGGCUCGAAAAAAUUGCCGGGCUCCGGCUCGGCUUUCAACGCGACCCCAGGUCAGGCGGGGUUACCCGCUGAAUUUAAGCAUAUCAAUAAGCGGAGGA